RNAcentral lists this transfer RNA (71 nucleotides) under Pseudoclavibacter triregionum. Its description in RNAcentral is "Pseudoclavibacter sp. 125703-2019 tRNA-Cys(gca)". It matches the Rfam family "tRNA". From Rfam's summary of the family: Transfer RNA (tRNA) molecules are approximately 80 nucleotides in length. Lineage: Bacteria; Bacillati; Actinomycetota; Actinomycetes; Micrococcales; Microbacteriaceae. The record is from RNAcentral.
GGUGGCGUGGCCGAGUGGCUAGGCAACGCCUGCAAAGCCGUGUACACGGGUUCGAAUCCCGUCGCCACCUC